AACUAGCAUAUCAAUAAGCGGAGGAAAAGAAACCAACAGGGAUUGCCUCAGUAACGGCGAGUGAAGCGGCAACAGCUCAAAUUUGAAAUCUGGCUCCCCUGGGGGCCCGAGUUGUAAUUUGUAGAGGAUGCUUCGGCGUGGGCCCCGGUCUAAGUUCCUUGGAACAGGACGUCACAGAGGGUGAGAAUCCCGUACGUGGCCGUGGGUGCUCGCCAUGUGAAGCUCCUUCGACGAGUCGAGUUGUUUGGGAAUGCAGCUCUAAAUGGGAGGUAAAUUUCUUCUAAAGCUAAAUACUGGCCAGAGACCGAUAGCGCACAAGUAGAGUGAUCGAAAGAUGAAAAGCACUUUGGAAAGAGAGUCAAAAAGUACGUGAAAUUGUUGAAAGGGAAGCGCUUGCAACCAGACCUGCCUGCGGUUGCUCAUCCGGGCUCCUGCCCGGUGCACUCUUCCGCAGUCAGGCCAGCAUCAGCUCUGGCGGUCGGAUAAAGGCGGCGGGAAUGUGGCUCCCCUCGGGGAGUGUUAUAGCCCGCCGUGCAAUGCGGCCAGCCGGGACUGAGGUCCGCGCUUCGGCUAGGAUGCUGGCGUAAUGGUUGUAAGCGGCCCGUCUUGAAACACGGACCAAGGAGUCUAACAUCUGUGCGAGUGUUUGGGUGUCAAGCCCAGGCGCGUAAUGAAAGUGAACGGAGGCGGGAACCUUCGGGUGCACCGUCGACCGAUCCUGAUGUCUUCGGAUGGAUUUGAGUAAGAGCAUAGCUGUUGGGACCCGAAAGAUGGUGAACUAUGCCUGAAUAGGGUGAAGCCAGAGGAAACUCUGGUGGAGGCUCGCAGCGGUUCUGACGUGCAAAUCGAUCGUCAAAUUUGGGCAUAGGGGCGAAAGACUAAUCGAACUAUCUAGUAGCUGGUUCCUGCGAGU
RNAcentral lists this ribosomal RNA (913 nucleotides) under Rhytidhysteron neorufulum. Its description in RNAcentral is "eukaryotic LSU rRNA". It matches the Rfam family "Eukaryotic large subunit ribosomal RNA", at positions 32 to 967 of the family's 3401-position model. Lineage: Eukaryota; Fungi; Ascomycota; Dothideomycetes; Hysteriales; Hysteriaceae. The record is from RNAcentral.